CGCUGCCGCAGGCAGGCAAUCCGCGCCCGCGGCUGUUCCGGCUGGCCGAGGAUCGUGCCGUCAUCAACCGCUUCGGCUUCAACAGCCAGGGCGGCGA
Molecule: transfer RNA, 97 nt
Filed under: Novosphingobium colocasiae
Lineage: Bacteria; Pseudomonadati; Pseudomonadota; Alphaproteobacteria; Sphingomonadales; Sphingomonadaceae
Description: tRNA-Arg
Source: RNAcentral